This is a long non-coding RNA of Armigeres subalbatus, 2245 nucleotides long. RefSeq lists it as uncharacterized. The transcript has 3 exons. Lineage: Eukaryota; Metazoa; Arthropoda; Insecta; Diptera; Culicidae. The record is from RefSeq and is a predicted model, not a curated record.
UAAAGUUGACCAUUCAAUAGAUGGAACAGUUAAAUUGAGCGUGUUGAUUUUUUACCGUGGGUGAUAACAGCGCUAACAGCUGUCAGUGUUCAGAUGGGUUGAUGAUGCCCGCAUGGAAGGAUGUCUAAAAGCGAACAGGAAUCUACCUCGAAAAGACGCAAACCAUCUUAGUCAAGAUUCAUUUAUACUUGGGCCCGUAUAAUAGUACUUUCGGCUAUUUACAAUUGUGUGUGUAUCUAUCGGUGCACUUGUCGAAACGGUUCAAAUGCCACGCGCCGCGCCAUCUUUUUUUACUUCUAUCAUUCGCUUCGCCCGCGCACCGUACCCCUCCCAUCCAAAUUCAAGAAAACAAAGUUAAAAAAGUCUUUGUUGUAGAAAUCUCAUUAGUAAUUGUAAUUCGUAAUCAACAUUUUUUUACGUGUUUGCAGUGACAUCCGAGGUGACAUCGUUGGCAAGGAUAUCGGAACGAUUAUCGUCGGUCAGAGGAGCCUGGAGACAUGGUUCAUUUGCGAGAUGCCAAUGUUGUUUGUUUCUGGAAAAAUGCUUCCUCGGUAUCGGAAGAGAUUCGACGACUCCUACAUCGUGCGGUCCGGAACCAAUGCGAUCCAUGAUACCGUCCGUGUAUGAAGAGCUGCUGUGUUGGUCCAAUCGACUCGAGAACAGAGCGAUGAGCUCAGGUCUGGAAUACCGACGGUGCGAGGUUUCGACAAUGAUGGCAUGAUGGUGGAAUCCACCAAUGAUGAUUUUGGGUUACUCAAUCUAACGUUGCGUUGCGGCAAGUCUCCCUUGUGUUGCUCCAAGAUGGAAAAACCGGUCCUGUUCCUCCAUAUGGAGAGGCUGGACCAUAACCGAUUAGGUCGGUGGCACCCAAGUUCCCUUCGGCGGUGCGGCAUCAGACGAUGCAACAUCCCGCUGGUGCCCUUGGGGUAUUGCCGCACCGACCUUCCGUAGGGGCCCUUCAUCGGCGAAUGCCGGUUAGGGCAUUGGGCGUCGGCAGUCAACAGGGCCGGCAGGUAAGUUUAUUGACUAAUCCAUGUAUUUGUUUGGAUUCUUUUUAGGUUUGUGUGAACUAGGAAUUGAAGCUAGUGUUUUGAAAACAAAGGCGUCGAAAAGUUGAUAUUGGAGGAGGCCAUUCGGAUGAUCCAAUAUUGGUUAAGAGUUAGUCGGAUGAUUUUAAUUGAUUCGAGUUUUUGAAAAGACAUCCGGUCACUGAAUCGACGGAUCCCGAUAGGAGUAGUUCAAACUCGUAUGGAUAUUAAUAACCAUUUGCGAACAUCCUCCGGAAAGGUGAUGAAAGUGGGCAAAACGACGAAUUCAUUCGAAUUUUUAUAGACAUGAUGCUUGGAGAAUUCCUUCGCGAGUCCUUGGGGAAUUCCGUAGAGAAUCUGAAGUGAUUCCUUCGGGAACCCUUAAGAGAUUCCUUCAAGAAUCCUUGCGGGUUUCUUUCGGGAAUCGUUGGAUAAUUCUUCGAUAAUCUUUGGAGGAAUUCUAGAGGGAUUUUUUCAGAAAUGCUCGAAGAAUUCUUUCGAAAAAUUUUCGAGAUACUCUGGUAGGAUUCCUUUGGGAAUACUUGGAGGAUUCCAGCGGCAAUAUUUGGAGAAUUCCUGCGGAAAUACUUGGAGAAUUCCUGUGACAAUCCUUGAAGGACUCCUUCGGAAACCCUUAGAGAAUUCGCUCAGAAACUGGGAUAUCCCUUCUGAAGUCCUUGGGAAAUUCCUUCGGGAAUCCUUGGGGGAUUCACUCGGAAAUACUUAGGGGAUUCCUUCUUGAAUACUUGAGGGAACUUCUUAGGGAUACCAUGGUAGGAUUCGUUCGGGAAUCCUUGGAUCAUUCAUUCAGAAAUCCUUGGCCCUUUCUUCGGAAAUCCUUGGAAGAUACCUGCUGUAAUCGUUGAAGGAUUCCUGCGGCAAUUCUUAAAAGGUUUCUGCGGCAACACUUGCAGAUUUCCCGCGGCAAUUCUUGAAACACUUCUUCGAAAAUCCUUAGAGGAUUUCUACGGAUACUUAGCAAUAAUUACUGCGGUAUUCUUGAAGAACUCCUUUGAGAAUCCUUAAAGGAUUCGCUCGGAAAUGGUUGAGAGAUUCCGUCGCGAAAUUUAUUGAAAAUCCUGGAUUCCUGUGGGAAUCUAUGGAGAAUUCCUGCGGGAAAACAUGGGAAAUUCCUUUCUAAAGUUUUUCAUAGAUCUUCGAAGGAUUAUUCUAAGGACUUCCAAAGAAAUCUUCCAGGUAUUCUUAAGGAAUCUACC